RNAcentral lists this transfer RNA (65 nucleotides) under Dipodomys ordii (Ord's kangaroo rat). It matches the Rfam family "tRNA". Rfam says of the family: Transfer RNA (tRNA) molecules are approximately 80 nucleotides in length. The record is from Rfam by way of RNAcentral. Lineage: Eukaryota; Metazoa; Chordata; Mammalia; Rodentia; Heteromyidae.
GGUGGCUCAGUGGCAGAGUGCUUGCCUAGCACGCAUGAAGCCCUGAGUUCAAAUCCUCAGCACCA